This is a small nucleolar RNA of Aotus nancymaae (Ma's night monkey), 153 nucleotides long. NCBI's taxonomy places the organism in Eukaryota, Metazoa, Chordata, Mammalia, Primates, Aotidae. The record is from Ensembl.
AUUGCACGUUAUUAGAACUUGGAGCUGGGGCCCUAACUGGCUGAUAAACUUGUAAGUGUGGGUAGUGUGCUAUGUGAGGGUCAAAUUUUUCACUACCACCACGAGGGUCUUUGGCCUAGUGAGUAGAGUUUGACAAUAAUCCUUGCUACAAGU